This 436-nucleotide ribosomal RNA is filed under the name Burkholderia sp. oral taxon C87. RNAcentral's name for it is "bacterial SSU rRNA". It matches the Rfam family "Bacterial small subunit ribosomal RNA", at positions 29 to 472 of the family's 1533-position model. Lineage: Bacteria; Pseudomonadati; Pseudomonadota; Betaproteobacteria; Burkholderiales; Burkholderiaceae. The record is from RNAcentral.
AUUGAACGCUGGCGGCAUGCCUUACACAUGCAAGUCGAACGGCAGCACGGGGGCAACCCUGGUGGCGAGUGGCGAACGGGUGAGUAAUACAUCGGAACGUGUCCUGUAGUGGGGGAUAGCCCGGCGAAAGCCGGAUUAAUACCGCAUACGCUCUACGGAGGAAAGGGGGGGAUCUUAGGACCUCCCGCUACAGGGGCGGCCGAUGGCAGAUUAGCUAGUUGGUGGGGUAAAGGCCUACCAAGGCGACGAUCUGUAGCUGGUCUGAGAGGACGACCAGCCACACUGGGACUGAGACACGGCCCAGACUCCUACGGGAGGCAGCAGUGGGGAAUUUUGGACAAUGGGCGAAAGCCUGAUCCAGCAAUGCCGCGUAUGUAAAGAAGGCCUUCGGGUUGUAAAGCACUUUUGUCCCGGAAAGAAAAACGCCCGUGGUUAA